Paramuricea clavata is the source of this 979-nucleotide non-coding RNA. Lineage: Eukaryota; Metazoa; Cnidaria; Anthozoa; Malacalcyonacea; Plexauridae. The record is from the annotation of a GenBank genome assembly.
UUAGUAUGCUGUCGAUUCACAAAUAAAAUUUCAUGGCUUUGAUCCUGCCGUGUCAUUGGUUGAAGUUGUUCCACGCGAGGCAAGUUAGAAAAAUUAGGGACCUUAUAAUAUCGACGUGUUUCAACCAGAGGCCGCGAAAGGGGGGGCAUUGGGGGCAAGUGCCCCCCCCCCCUUUUAAGUGAAAAAAGUGCCCUUUUUUCUGGGCUUAAGUGCCCCAUUUAAAGAACGAAAAAAGUAUUUCUUGAACCAAAGCCCUCUCUUGCUGGAAAGAAAAUGCCCUUUUCGCAGUGGUAAAGACUUUGUAAAGGCCAUUUCCGACGUUAUACAGACUCCAUAUUUUCAAAAAAUUUCGUUCGGCUCGUGAACGACAUACAAUCGUUUGAUUUUGGUCGUAUACAAAAGUGCCCUUUUUGGUCAAUGCCCCUCCACUUUCGAAAUGCUUCAGUGGCUUCUGGUUUCAACGAAUACCACAGGCCUUAUUGGGAUCGCCCGGCGAAUCCUGUACUGUAUCGUAACAAUGAAUGCCCUAUCUAGCUCUCCGUUUGUAUAGAAGUGUUUUUAACUGAUAGGUUAACCUCAUUUGAUACAGACUUUAAAUUUGCCUUUUCAGAAUGAAUCAUGUUUACGUACGGAAGACAUUUUAAAGAUUAUCGAAGAGCAAGGAGACUCGAUAGCUUUAAUAAUGUUUGCAGGUAACUGCGAAAAUAUGUCGACUGUCGAGGGAGAAUACCCGAAAUUCUGAUCAAAAAUAGUGAAUCCUAAAUGAAUGAUAUAGCCGAAAAAAUGAAAAUCCAUUUUGUACUUUAGACUGAGUAAAACCUGAUAGAAAAGUUCAAAAUUUCACCACAGAAAAAAUUGUCUUUUUUCGCUGCAUUUAGGUGUUCAGUAUUACACAGGACAGCUUUUUGAUAUGAAGGCUAUCACAGAGGCCGGUCAUAAAAAGGUAUACUUUAUUUAGAUUAUAAAUAUUUUGGUGCUG